UUCUCACACCAAAGAUCAUUUUUUGGAAAUUUUUGGAUGCCAAAAAUUUGGGUUUGGCAUGGAGAUAUCGGCACCCCUCUUCUUGACCUAAACCCUACUUCCUUUCCUAUACAAAGGGGUCUCCAAUUAUUGACACCCCAUCUUUGUUUCUUUGCUGGUUUUUAAUUUUUCAAAGCUCCUUCUCUUCUCUUCUCUUCCUCCUCCAGAUCC
Molecule: long non-coding RNA, 210 nt
Filed under: Elaeis guineensis (African oil palm)
Lineage: Eukaryota; Viridiplantae; Streptophyta; Magnoliopsida; Arecales; Arecaceae
Description: long non-coding RNA (EGUI_LNC079225)
Source: RNAcentral